This 72-nucleotide non-coding RNA is filed under the name uncultured Maritalea sp. Its description in RNAcentral is "Glycine riboswitch". It matches the Rfam family "Glycine riboswitch aptamer", at positions 10 to 85 of the family's 94-position model. Rfam says of the family: This family represents the bacterial glycine riboswitch. Glycine riboswitches usually consist of two metabolite-binding aptamers domains with similar structures in tandem. The aptamers cooperatively bind glycine to regulate the expression of downstream genes. The record is from RNAcentral. Lineage: Bacteria; Pseudomonadati; Pseudomonadota; Alphaproteobacteria; Hyphomicrobiales; Devosiaceae.
AGCGGGAGAGACUGGAUCUUCCAGCGCCGAAGGAGCAACCGCCCCGGAAACUCUCAGGCAAAAGGACCGCCA